UAGGGAAUCUUCGGCAAUGGGGGGAACCCUGACCGAGCAACGCCGCGUGAGUGAAGAAGGUUUUCGGAUCGUAAAGCUCUGUUGUUAAGGAAGAACGAGUGUGAGAAUGGAAAGUUCAUACUGUGACGGUACUUAACCAGAAAGGGACGGCUAACUACGUGCCAGCAGCCGCGGUAAUACGUAGGUUCCGAGCGUUGUCCGGAUUUAUUGGGCGUAAAGCGAGCGCAGGCGGUUAGAUAAGUCUGAAGUUAAAGGCAGUGGCUCAACCAUUGUAGGCUUUGGAAACUGUUUGGCUUGAGUGCAGGAGGGGAGAGUGGAAUUCCAUGUGUAGCGGUGAAAUGCGUAGAUAUAUGGAGGAACACCGGUGGCGAAAGCGGCUCUCUGGUCUGUAACUGACACGGAGGCUCGAAAGCGUGGGGAGCGAACAGG
This 429-nucleotide ribosomal RNA is filed under the name Bacteroidota bacterium. Its description in RNAcentral is "Bacteroidetes bacterium partial 16S ribosomal RNA". It matches the Rfam family "Bacterial small subunit ribosomal RNA", at positions 355 to 776 of the family's 1533-position model. The record is from RNAcentral. Lineage: Bacteria; Pseudomonadati; Bacteroidota.